RNAcentral lists this ribosomal RNA (329 nucleotides) under uncultured Glomeromycotina. RNAcentral's name for it is "eukaryotic LSU rRNA". Lineage: Eukaryota; Fungi; Glomeromycota. The record is from RNAcentral.
CAGUCGUACCUGCGGGUAAUCAGCCUUUUGGGUGUGAUUAUGUGGAGCGUGAGGAGUUAAUCACCCUCAUCUUUGCAUAUUCGUGCACUUUGGGUGUACUUGCUCGUGUGGUAGGUUAACAUCAAUUUUGAUCAUCAUAAAAUGAUUGGAGGAAUGUAGCUUCGAUCUCGUAUUGAAGUGUUAUAGCCUUUGGUAGAUGUGAUGAUCGGGAUUGAGGAUUGCAACGGAUACCCUUCGGGGCUACCCGUCUGAUCUCUGAAAGUUGCUCUGGUGCUGAAAGCUUGCUUAUGGUAUCAAAGUUGACGUUCAAUAGGUUAGAACGGGAUAAA